AUUGAACGCUGGCGGCAGGCUUAACACAUGCAAGUCGAACGAUGAUUAUCUAGCUUGCUAGAUAUGAUUAGUGGCGGACGGGUGAGUAACAUUUAGGAAUCUGCCUAGUAGUGGGGGAUAGCUCGGGGAAACUCGAAUUAAUACCGCAUACGACCUACGGGUGAAAGGGGGCGCAAGCUCUUGCUAUUAGAUGAGCCUAAAUCAGAUUAGCUAGUUGGUGGGGUAAAGGCCCACCAAGGCGACGAUCUGUAACUGGUCUGAGAGGAUGAUCAGUCACACCGGAACUGAGACACGGUCCGGACUCCUACGGGAGGCAGCAGUGGGGAAUAUUGGACAAUGGGGGCAACCCUGAUCCAGCCAUGCCGCGUGUGUGAAGAAGGCCUUUUGGUUGUAAAGCACUUUAAGCAGGGAGGAGAGGCUAAUGGUUAAUACCCAUUAGAUUAGACGUUACCUGCAGAAUAAGCACCGGCUAACUCUGUGCCAGCAGCCGCGGUAAUACAGAGGGUGCGAGCGUUAAUCGGAAUUACUGGGCGUAAAGCGAGUGUAGGUGGCUCAUUAAGUCACAUGUGAAAUCCCCGGGCUUAACCUGGGAACUGCAUGUGAUACUGGUGGUGCUAGAAUAUGUGAGAGGGAAGUAGAAUUCCAGGUGUAGCGGUGAAAUGCGUAGAGAUCUGGAGGAAUACCGAUGGCGAAGGCAGCUUCCUGGCAUAAUAUUGACACUGAGAUUCGAAAGCGUGGGUAGCAAACAGGAUUAGAUACCCUGGUAGUCCACGCCGUAAACGAUGUCUACUAGCCGUUGGGGUCCUUGAGACUUUAGUGGCGCAGUUAACGCGAUAAGUAGACCGCCUGGGGAGUACGGCCGCAAGGUUAAAACUCAAAUGAAUUGACGGGGGCCCGCACAAGCGGUGGAGCAUGUGGUUUAAUUCGAUGCAGCGCGAAGAACCUUACCUGGUCUUGACAUAGUGAGAAUCCUGCAGAGAUGCGGGAGUGCCUUCGGGAAUUCACAUACAGGUGCUGCAUGGCUGUCGUCAGCUCGUGUCGUGAGAUGUUGGGUUAAGUCCCGCAACGAGCGCAACCCUUUUCCUUAUUUGCCAGCGGGUUAAGCCGGGAACUUUAAGGAUACUGCCAGUGACAAACUGGAGGAAGGCGGGGACGACGUCAAGUCAUCAUGGCCCUUACGACCAGGGCUACACACGUGCUACAAUGGUAGGUACAGAGGGUUGCUACACAGCGAUGUGAUGCUAAUCUCAAAAAGCCUAUCGUAGUCCGGAUUGGAGUCUGCAACUCGACUCCAUGAAGUCGGAAUCGCUAGUAAUCGCAGAUCAGAAUGCUGCGGUGAAUACGUUCCCGGGCCU
Molecule: ribosomal RNA, 1355 nt
Filed under: uncultured bacterium
Lineage: Bacteria
Description: bacterial SSU rRNA
Rfam family: Bacterial small subunit ribosomal RNA
Source: RNAcentral